Molecule: long non-coding RNA, 267 nt
Filed under: Olea europaea (common olive)
Lineage: Eukaryota; Viridiplantae; Streptophyta; Magnoliopsida; Lamiales; Oleaceae
Description: long non-coding RNA (OEUR_LNC010645)
Source: RNAcentral
CGGCAGGUAAUGAUAGAAUUGGGGGCAGGUAAUCAGUUAUUCAGUAAGUAUGUUAUUAAAUAAGUGGUCAUUAUGCUGUAAAAAAAGUUCUAUAUAGAUGCUAAUAAUUGUUCAUUGUCUGCAACUUUGUAAAACGAGAGAAAUAAAUAACUAUAAAUGAUAAUUUAUUCAUUAAUUAUUAAUUAGCAAUUGCAGAGCCAUGAUGGAAUUCUGAUUUCUUCUCUAUCACCCUCUUCCAUUUUUUUACCGGGAUGCCGAGCUCUGCCC